UAUGAAACCCAUUUAAGCGAGAGUAGUACUAGGAUGGGUGACCUCCUGGGAAGUCCUCGUGAAAGGGUUUCAUAU
Molecule: ribosomal RNA, 75 nt
Filed under: Triticum aestivum (bread wheat)
Lineage: Eukaryota; Viridiplantae; Streptophyta; Magnoliopsida; Poales; Poaceae
Source: RNAcentral